RNAcentral lists this ribosomal RNA (1042 nucleotides) under uncultured actinomycete. Its description in RNAcentral is "bacterial SSU rRNA". It matches the Rfam family "Bacterial small subunit ribosomal RNA", at positions 301 to 1353 of the family's 1533-position model. Lineage: Bacteria; Bacillati; Actinomycetota; Actinomycetes; Actinomycetales. The record is from RNAcentral.
UGACCGGCCACAUUGGGACUGAGAUACGGCCCAGACUCCUACGGGAGGCAGCAGUGGGGAAUAUUGCACAAUGGGCGGAAGCCUGAUGCAGCAACGCCGCGUGCGGGACGACGGCCUUCGGGUUGUAAACCGCUUUCGCCUGUGACGAAGCGUGAGUGACGGUAAUGGGUAAAGAAGCACCGGCUAACUACGUGCCAGCAGCCGCGGUGAUACGAAGGGUGCGAGCGUUGUCCGGAUUUAUUGGGCGUAARGGGCUCGUAGGUGGUUGAUCGCGUCGGAAGUGUAAUCUUGGGGCUUAACCCUGAGCGUGCUUUCGAUAUGGGUUGACUUGAGGAAGGUAGGGGAGAAUGGAAUUCCUGGUGGAGCGGUGGAACGCGCAGAUAUCAGGAGGAACACCAGUGGCGAAGGCGGUUCUCUGGGCCUUUCCUGACGCUGAGGAGCGAAAGCGUGGGGAGCGAACAGGCUUAGAUACCCUGGUAGUCCACGCUGUAAACGGUGGGUACUAGGUGUGGGGUCCAUUCCACGGGUUCCGUGCCGUAGCUAACGCUUUAAGUACCCCGCCUGGGGAGUACGGCCGCAAGGCUAAAACUCAAAGGAAUUGGCGGGGGCCCGCACAAGCGGCGGAGCAUGCGGAUUAAUUCGAUGCAACGCGUAGAACCUUACCUGGGUUUGACAUGGAUCGGGAGUGCUCAGAGAUGGGUGUGCCUCUUUUGGGUCGGUUCACAGGUGGUGCAUGGCUGUCGUCAGCUCGUGUCGUGAGAUGUUGGGUUAAGUCCCGCAACGAGCGCAACCCUUGUUCACUGUUGCCAGCACGUUAUGGUGGGAACUCAGUGGAGACCGCCGGGGUCAACUCGGAGGAAGGUGGGGAUGACGUCAAGUCAUCAUGCCCCUUAUGUCCAGGGCUUCACGCAUGCUACAAUGGCUGGUACAGAGAGUGGCGAGCCUGUGAGGGUGAGCGAAUCUCGGAAAGCCGGUCUCAGUUCGGAUUGGGGUCUGCAACUCGACCUCAUGAAGUCGGAGUCGCUAGUAAUCGCAGAUCAGA